CAUCCAUAAGACUGUCAGGUUAAUUUAUUAUCUUCAAGCAGGGUAAAGUCUCAGACCCUUCAGAGUGCUUGACAACCACACCCCUUUAAGAUACACAUCAUUUCCAUUGGAACAGCCCCCUUCCAGUCAAUCUCCUAAGAGAUAAUCCUCUUUCUAAUUGUUAUCACAAUAGAUAGUUUUGCCUUUCCUGGAAUAUCACCUACAUAUCAUCAAAAUAAAUCUGCUUUUAUGUUUAUUUGCUUCACUCAUCAUUAAGUCCAUGAGAUUCAUCCAUGCUUUUGUGUAUGUCAGUAAUUCAUUCUUUUUUCAUGACCAAAUACCUUUCAUUAUGAGACUAACUCUUAAUUUAUUUAUCUAUUCUCCUGUUGGUGGAUAUUUGAGUUGUUUUCAGUUUGGAGAAUAAAGCUGCUAUAAACAUUUACUUAUCUAGUUUUAUUGUAUACAGGACACAGACUAAAUAAUUUGUAGUCUGGAUUCUAUUAUCUUCUUCUGAAGAGUGUUUUUGUUAUAAAAGUCGAUUUGUCUAGACUCAAAUUUCCUGCUGUCUCUUUUGCAGUGGGCCCCAACUGAAAUUUCUGUUAUAGCUUUCUACCUUCCAGCUGUUGUUUUCCACUGGGCGCCUUAUGAUCUCCCCUGCACAAGCAUAGCCAAAGGAGUCAGCCAAAAAUUUAGAUGAAGUUUAUCAUAGAUUUUGAAACUCUCUAUUUUGUGGCUGUUUCCCUUCUUGGGUAUUCUCCCUCACCUCAGAGUUGCUUGGGCAUCCUUCAGCUCUGUCCAUUGAUGCUCAAGCCAGUAAGACCUUUCUGAGUACUAGCAUACUUGCACUCAAAAGGACAUAGAGAGUACCUCAGGGAAAAAGCUUUAUAUGCAAAUCCUACCUAGUGUGAUUUCCUCCUUUCAAAAUGUUUACUCCCGUUAGUUUCUGCCUGCCUUUGGUCAUUCUCUAGUGCCUUCGAAUCUUUUUUUUUAAAUAUUGCUCUGAGUUUAUAAUUAUUACAGGAGACUUAGUCUAAUAGAGCCUUCCCUUAGCAUUUCCAGAAGCAGAACUCUGCCUAGUUUAUCUCUUUAUUUCAAACUUUCUGAGUCAUUUUACUUUGGAUGUGUCACAUAAGCAACAUGUAGAGUGAUUUUAUUUUUUUAGGGAAUCUGAUUCUGUUUGCUAUCCAUUAUUGUCAGUUUAAUCCAUUUAUAUCUAUUGUGAGUGAUAGCAUUUGGAUUUAAUUUUUACUGUUUUGUGUUCUGUUUACCAUUAUUCCAUAAGCUUCUUCUCUAGUUCUGGUCUUUGGCCAGAUUGAGAAUAUUUUAUUUCCCCACCCCUUUAUGUUGUCCUUAUUUGGAAGUUAUAUUUCUCUUCCUUAGUGGCCACCAUUAAAUUUUCUACAUACACAUCUACAAAAUUUUUAUCAAAGUUUAAAGUUAGUAAAUACUUCCAUCUUCCUUCCGAACAAGAAAGAACAUUAGUUCAUUUCGUUUACUCAUUAACAGAUUUUUAUUUUCACUUUUAUCGUCUAAAAACUUAGCGUCAGAGUUCCCAUUGUGGCUCAGAGGUAACGAACCCAACUAGCAUCUAUGAGGAUACAGGUUUGAUCCCUGGCCCUGCUCAGUGGGUUAAGGAUCCACUGUUGCCAUGAGCUGCAGUAUAGGUCUCAGAUGAGGCUCGGAUCUGGCAUUGCUGUGGCUCUGAUUCCAAUUAGACCCCUAACUUGGGAACUUCCAUAUGCCAUGGGAAUGGUCCUAAAAGGAAAAAAAAAAGUAAACAAAUAAUAAAUAAAAACUUAACAUCACCUUUUUUAUCAAUGUUUUAAUAAUCAGUAUUCAAAUAUGCCAACAUAUUUUCUGCUCACCAUUUUUCUUAGUAAUAACUUUAUUAAGCUGUAAUUCACAUUCCAUAAAGUCACCAUUGUUUCUUACAUCUACCUUCUUUCCCUUGGAUUCACUUUGCUUUCACUCUGUGGAUGGUAUCUAGAUAUGAAUUUGUAUUUAUCCUGUGUAGGACAGAGUGUACCUUUAAGGGUUAUUCUUCAAUUUUGGAAAUUAAAUCUCUUCAGAUACUGCUUCUUUAUAAUUCCUCUACUACCUUCUUUUGGAUAGUUUUUCCUUCCAUCAUAGAGGGUCUCUUAAUCUGUCCUCUGAGCCACUAAUUUUUUCAUUCUUUUAAAAAAAUUUCUUUCUGUUGCAUUUUGGAGUAAUUCCUCAGUAUUGACUCCCAAUGUAGUAUUUCUCUCAGAUUGUAUACAGUGUAGAAUGCCUAUUAAGGUUUUUAUUUCAAUAGGUGUUUUUCUAAUUAUUUUACUUUUUCUACAUAUUAUUGAAACAUGCCUGAUUUUGUUUCAUAAUGUCUUAUUCUUUUAAGAAAUGUAUGCAUUGCUUCAUCUCUUUGAGGAUAUGAAACGUCUUUAUUUCUUUCUUUAAAUUGCCCUAUUUCAUUUUAAUCUGGAGCGAAUCAUUGUUCUGAUUAUUGAUUUCGUGGCACUGUUUUUUAAUGGUAGGUUUUUUCGUGUGCUUUGAUUUUCAUAUUGAGUGGGAGAGGUGGUUUUCCUCCUAUAUAUCCCUAAGGAUUUUGCACUUGGCCAACAAGCUCCCAGGUUCUUCAAUGGCAAACCAGAUCUUAAAAUGACAGUUUGAGAUUCCUCCCGUGUUCAUUGGUUAUUGCCAGUACAACCUCAAAAUCUCAGUGGUAAACAACAAUAACCAUUUAUUUUGCUCACAAAGCAGCUAUCUAGGGGAAGCUUAUGUCAUGAUAAAGACAAGAGCACAAUAGGACAAGACCUAUUGUGCAUGCAUUUCAAGCUCCUACUUUUUUCUUUUUUUGGCUGCACCUGUGGCAUAUGGAAGUUCCCAGGGGCCAGGGUUUGAUCCCUUGCCAAAGCACAACUUGAGCCGUUGCAGUGAUAUCACCAGUUCCUUAACCCGCUGAGCCACAGGAGAAUUCCUCAAGCCCUUGCUUAUAUAACAUCUGCAAAUAUCUCAAUGGCCAAAGCAAGUCCUAUAGUUGAGCCCCAAAUUAAGAGGCAGGUAAGUAUACUCUGUCUUUUGCAGGAGGAACUUCACAGUUACAAGGCAAUUUAUAUCUGUCUCAUGGCAAAACAGAUGCAUCCAAUCAUGGUAUCAGGAUCAAAAUCCAAUAUCUUAUGAUAUAUAUUAGAUUUGAAUGUGAUUCUCCUUGAUUUAGAAACCUGUGAACUAAAGUCUGUGUGUGUGUGAUCUUCCCCCCCAACCUCUCACUCUUAUCCAACUGCAUUUAACACUCCUAAUCAAAAAGGGAAAGAUCAGAAGGCAUUAGCAUUCACUUGUUCUGAAAUACCAUAGGGAAACUGUUGCCAGGUCCCCCUGCUCUGGGCAUAGGGAAUUUUGCUUGAUUAGACACUAAUUAUUUUCCCUGGAUUGGAUCUCCAGUCCAUUGUUCUCCAUUGCUCUUGGUUUUAUCAUCCCAGGAGGUCUUUUGAUUUCUAUCAUCCUUAUAGGUCACUUCCAAAGACAGCAUUGGAGAAUAUGCCCUUUCUCACUUUAAGAAGUUUUCUCAGCUAUUCCCUGUCUAUAAAGUGUUAUUGGCCCAGAAGUCUUUUUAUAUUUCAGUCUCAUUCCUGUUUAAUCCUAGCUGGUGGUUUGUUUGCCAAUACUGCUCUCUCAAAAACAUGAAUUUUCUAUGUAUUUGUUUUCAGUGAACUCUGUUUGACAAAACCAUACCCACAGUUCUUUUGGAUACAUGCCUCUCAGACUUUAUUAUGAGGCUUCCAAGGGACCCUUCCCUUAAGCUUUCUAGAACCCCCUUGUCCAGCUGAGAGGAUCUUCCAGGCAUCUUCUCCUUUCUGAUGUCUUAGUAAAGGAAGUUACAGCAAUGCCCUUAAUUAAAUUUUCCUCCAGGCUGGAAUCUAAGACUCUUAAUGGCUGGAGAUGAAGAGUUUAUUUUCCAAAUAAGCAAGUUCUGGGCUCUUUAAAUCCCUCUAAAUUCUUCUUGCAAGUUGGCAAGUUUUUUUCCUGAAUUUAUCCUUUUCUUGUAGUGCUUUGUAAAAUGGAACUAAAAGUAUAUUGCUCAUGCUUUCAAUAUUAGCCUGGAAAUCUACUAUCUUUCACAUUACCACAGGCAGCAGUUUUACCAAAUACAGGUUGCCAUUUUUCUAGCUUCUGUAAUAGUUUCCUUGCUAUCCACCACCUGUUUCCCAAGCUAAAUAUAAUACUGUAUAUUUUAGGUUCUUGUUACAGUAGCAUCCCAGUGUUAGGUUUUCCAUAAUAGCUAGCUAAUGCUGCAUAACAAACAAUCUCAAAAUCUCAGUGACAUGUAACAACUUUUUAAAUCUCUCAUGGGUCUGCAGGUUAGCUAGAGCAGCUGCACACAGCAAUAACUCAAGCAGCUCAGCUCUGUGGGCAAGAAGAGCAGUUGUGCUCCACAAGCAUACAUGCUGGGGCCCAGGUCACAGGGUAGCAGCUACCCUGGGGAAAACUCAUUUCAUUGAGGGUAAGAGGGUAAGCCCCAUUAGACAAGCACAUUUCAAGCCCCUGUUUUCAUCAUUUCUAUUAACAUCUCCCUAGCCAAAGCAAGUCCCACAGCUGAGCCCAAAGUCAGGAUGGAAAAGUGCAUUGCCUUUUGUGUAAAGAACUUCAAGGUAAGAAUGUUAUAGGAUGUGGAUAGAGGGAAGGGGAAAGAAUCAGGGCCAGUAAUUUAUUACAUGCUCCAUAGUAAUAUGUGGGAUACUGGUUGCCAGGCUGUUCUGUCCUGCAUCCAGAAACACGCAGCUUUUCAUAAAGCUGUAGUGCCAGGCUGUAGUUAGCAGAAAUUUUUUAAAGUUUCCUUGUGAGGGGGUCAGGGUAAGUGAGGAUCACCAGCUUGUAGGCAGUGAACCUGUGUUUGGUCUUCAUCUCAUUUACGGCACAUCUACUCAAUGUUCUCCAGAAUGAUAGGGACUCUUAGUUGCUUCAACUGACUUCACCUCCAGAGGCCAGCAAGCCCAUGACUCCACCUUCCACUUUCUUUACUGCAUUUCUUUUCUAUUCCUGGCCCACAGAAAUGUUUAUCUUAUUGAACAAAUUUGGGCCUUUUACUUUCCAAGCUAUGUAUUUUUUUCUUUCACAGAUUAUGUAUCACAGCCAGGGAUUUAGAGCGAGGGGAUAACCUGAACCUCAGACUUAAAAAUGUCAUUGCCAUCCAAAGUCCCAGAAUCCUAUAGAAAAAGUUCUCUUUUAUUUUCGGUGGUGUUUCUUUAAACAUAAAAUCUGUCUUAUCUCUUAGCACUUAAGUAUGCCUAAAUUAAUACAUUACAAAAAAUAACCGGUUUCAAAAGAUAGACAUACUCAAAUUUAGUACAUCAAAAAUGAUCUGGCAAAUUAUAUGAAAUAAAAAUUAAAAAUAGUCCUCUAUUUUUGCAAGUAGGUCUGAUCAUGAAACUGUUUUCAAAUGUGUAUAUUAAAUAUUAGUGGCUUUGUCACAGUCUCUUGGGAAUGGUCAUCCCAUUCUCUUCUUAUCCAAACUUUUCUCUCUUGUUUUUUGACUUUUUAAAUGUGAAAACUAUUAACAAAAAUUUCAAAUAUAUAAUAUACACAGAGUAGUGUAAUGACCUCUCUGUACCCAUGACUGAGCUUUAUAAUUAAUAAUCAUGGUAAAUCUUGUUUUAUGCAUAGCAGUUUGGGAAAUGGUAACCCACAUAUCAAAUCGAGCCUACUGGCUAUUUUAUCUCUUCUAUAAAACUCCCACUGAAUAACAAUGGGAAUUCUUUAAUAUUUCUUUUUCUUCCUAACUUAUUAUUAAGAUCUACCUAUUUAACAAGCUAUUUUCUUAGCUUUGAAAGAGCUGCAGACUUUUCUUCAUUUUCAUGAGUAGUUCAUUCUCAGUAAUUUUAAUAACCAAUACUUUGAGGUCAUCUAUAGAUGACCUCAAAGAAUAAAUAUUCUGAAUUUAACAAAGCAUGUGAGAAAGUUAAUAAGCAGUAAUAGCACAAUCAUCAGAGGGAUUUCAGCAAAAUUGCAAUUUGAAAUAUAUUAAAAGUCCUAUAGGAAAAUAUAAAUACAAUCUCACAUUUUAAAAAUAUAAUAGCAUUUGUUUUUUGCCACACUGGUUUUUCUUAAGACCAAUUAAUUCACUUUUAUUAGUUUUAACAAGUAAGUGAUUAUUAGCAUUUCUAAAUAACAUUUUAUAUUAAAAAAAGCCCUUUACAGUUUACAUGGCAAUUUUACAAGAGCUAUCUUAUUUAAUAUUUACAGCAACCUAGUGAGGUAGAGAUUAUUUUCAUACUAAAUGAUCCCAUUGAGACUCAAACCUAUGUCAUCUACUUAAAGUCCACCAACCACGCUACUAAACUAGUCUCGAAUCUUACCAUAGAGCAGUUUUAAACAGAUUUUAUCACCUUUUACAAGCCUUGGUUAUAUAAAGGCACUGUGCUAUGCAAAGUAUUAUUAACUACAUUACUUCCUAGGUAUGCUAAAGAUAUAUAUCUGUACAGUGAAGAUAUUACAAUAAACUCUUAUGAAAUCUGUACCUUUGGAGUUUAGGAUUUUAAGCACAGAAUGUAUCUUUCAUUCACAUUUAAAGAGCAAGAAAUAGGAGUUCCCGUCAUGGCUCAGUGGUUAACAAACCCAACUAGUAACCAUGAGGUUGCAGGUUUGAUCCCUGGCCUCACUCAGUGAGUGGGGGAUCCGGCGUUGCUGUGAGCUGUGGUGUAGCUUGCAGACACGGCUUGGAUCCACAGUGUUGCUAUGGCUUUGGCAUAGGCCUGCAGCUAUAGCUCCGAUUGGACCCUAGCCUGGGAACCUCCAUAUGCCGCGGGUGUGGCCCUAG
RNAcentral lists this long non-coding RNA (6769 nucleotides) under Sus scrofa (pig). Its description in RNAcentral is "lncRNA (ENSSSCG00000056704.1)". Lineage: Eukaryota; Metazoa; Chordata; Mammalia; Artiodactyla; Suidae. The record is from RNAcentral.